Molecule: transfer RNA, 73 nt
Filed under: Trichobilharzia regenti
Lineage: Eukaryota; Metazoa; Platyhelminthes; Trematoda; Strigeidida; Schistosomatidae
Rfam family: tRNA
About the family: Transfer RNA (tRNA) molecules are approximately 80 nucleotides in length. Their secondary structure includes four short double-helical elements and three loops (D, anti-codon, and T loops). Further hydrogen bonds mediate the characteristic L-shaped molecular structure. tRNAs have two regions of fundamental functional importance: the anti-codon, which is responsible for specific mRNA codon recognition, and the 3' end, to which the tRNAs corresponding amino acid is attached (by aminoacyl-tRNA synthetases). tRNAs cope with the degeneracy of the genetic code in two manners: having more than one tRNA (with a specific anti-codon) for a particular amino acid; and 'wobble' base-pairing, i.e. permitting non-standard base-pairing at the 3rd anti-codon position.
Source: Rfam by way of RNAcentral
CGCUCCAUGGCCUAAUGGAUAAGGCAUCUGACUUCAGAUAAGAAUAUUGUGGGUUCGAGUCCCGUCGAGGUCG